UGAGGAGAGCCCCUUUCUGCCCGGGUGAGUUAUUUUGAUAUUUAGGGUAAGGGGGAAAAAAUCCUUUUCAGGUUCUCCAACGGGGGAGCUUUGUAACCUCUUUCCGGCGAGGUGGGAGCUCUCCUUCAUGGUGGAAUUUAAAAAGAACAAUGGAACCCUGACUACGUUUAAACAAAAAUAAAACUUGUGUUUUUUUUUUUUUUCUUUUGGGUGUUGGCUUUUAACUCUUUCAAAGCCGAUUUUGAAAACGGCUGCAGUGUUACAGACAAGAAGGUACUUGCUGCUUAUUAAAACCUUGAUGACGUUAAGGUUGUCUUUUAAAAAUGCAAGUUGGAGAAGUGCCGCUGGUAUUUCAAAAAUUACGAAGAUAAGUUUACUAUGCUGUCGUCUCGGCUGUUUAAUGGAAAUAAAUAGGUUUUAAUUACGAGAGUAGACGAUGACGUUUGAUCAAGAUAGUUUAUUUUGCGGACUAGUUACGCCAAGAUUAGUUGACAUUCUGGUGUUUGAAUAAUGAUUAAAUAUACUGUUGGGUACUUUUUAAAAGGUCAUAAGGAGCCGUUAUCUGUAACUUACCACACCUGAAUGUUAGAACGUACUUGGAUCAGUUCCUGGACUUCUAAAAGUUGAAGUUCAUCAUUUUAUUAUUUUUAAAAAUAAUGUAUGUUAGGUCAAGCCGUGGUCGACGAAACUUUUACAAAGGAAUAUUCUGACGCCAAAUCUCUUUGUGAAGUUACUUUCUCUUAGUGUAAAUAUUAAAGUAGGACUGUUCUCGGUAAUGGGCGAUGAAGAGGAGCCAUAUUUGUUGCAUUUGUUGCAUGCAUAAAAAUCUAGAUCUGCUGAAAACGGAAGAGUAUUUUAAUAAUAAAUACUGCUUUCUCAAGAAUUUGCGGAGUCCUCUAUAGUUUUGAGUUUAAAAAACUGAGAGGGAAUUUAAGUUUAAUGGUUUGAGGAGCAAACCACAAAUGCACAAACCUUUGUGUAUUUUGUAAUAUAUUUGUCUUCAUUCUGCGGUAGCUCUCGUGUUGUAAAGGUGCAGAUCUACGUAAAAACAGUGUUGGGCAGAUUUACGUAGUACUUAGAAAAUCAGAGUUACUGGUGUAAUCGACCGUAUUUCUGAUGGUAUUUUUUUUGUCAGUGAAAUUGCUUUAUUUCUGAAAGGCAUUCAUAUAGUGCUACAUGUUACAUCAGUUGCGCAUAUCUUGAUUUACAGAAUCUUAAAUAUCAAUUUUGGUUUUUCAAAACCGCAUUUUUUAUAUUUGAACACUGAAAGAAGUUUUAAACGUAUAUUCUGAAUCUGUUUUUUCAGGCUCCUUUUUUGAAUAGUGAAAUGCAAAAUAAUUGCUAGCAAUUUAACCUCGUAGGAUCUUUUUAUGGGAGAAAUGGGGGAAGGGAGAGACAAAAUUUCCAAGACCCUGGUUUGAAAUUGAAUAAAGGUCAUAGGCACUACAUGUUUUAGACUUGCUUAAAAGACAAAGCUAAUAUCUCACUUGGUGAGAUCAAAUAACUUGUGGUUUAAAAAUUUAAAGUAACCAGUAGCCAUUUUAACUUCACUAAUUUCUCCUGGAGGAGUUAAUUUUUAAUUGUUUGUAAUUGUAAAAGGUAUUUCUAGAUGGUUAAUGUAAUUUUUAAGAUGAUUUCAGUGUUUAAGCAGGGUAAACUUUUCCUUUGUUUUUGUGUAUUGCCUGGCAUCAAAAGAAAAAUAAAAAUGAGGUUAUAAUCUUAAAUCUGUCUGGAGAUAUGAAUUUUCUGUAGUUUAUUUAAUCUCCGUGCCUUAAUCUCUAGUGUUUAUUCAUGCCACCAAAAGAUGAGGAAAACAAAGACUGAUAGAUUAUUAAGAUAAGAAAUAACUGCAUCCUUAACUGUAAAGGUGGUGUGUCCAUGAGCCGUCCCUAAAUUUGCCCAUAGAUCAUGUAUUUGGAAUAUUUUCUUAUUGUUUCAUCACACUGAAACUUUGGCCAAGAAAUGUUUAAAAAUCAAAACAUUGAUACAUCUUUUUUUUUUUUUUUUUUAAGGUAACUUACCAGAUUAAAUAUGGUUGAUGAUGGUUCUGAACAAAUACAGCUUUUAUGAGGUAAGGCUGGGUAAAUUUUAAUUACUUUAACAUAAAAAGCCUAUUUGGUUUUUAUUUUGCUCUUUGAUAAAUUUGUAUUUCCAAUGAGUAGUGAUUAUGAGCAUGAAUAACUGAAUAUCUGAAAUAAUUUGACAAAGCCUUUAAACCUUUCCGUUAAAUGAAAAGUGUAUGUGCUUAGCCAUUGUAACUUAAUGUGCCUUUUGAAUAGUUUAAAAUACUGAAGGUCCCUUAAGCCUUUGUUUAAUUUGGGGAACAAGAAAAGACUGAUUAUAUUUUGAGAAAAACUGUGAACCAAAGAUACAUUUUUUUCUUUGUAAUUCUCUAAUAUGUUGUGCAAAUUAAUUUUUAAAGUAUUUAUAAAGAAAUGAAUUUAUUGGAAAAUUUGAGCUAGUUAGUAUUCGUAGUAAGUAGAUUUUAGGGAAGAACAUUUUAAAAAUCAAGUUUUGUGAGCAUGGAUUUUUUGUUUUCUUUAUACAAUAAAAGUUUUAAAACAUUUCUACUUGCUAUUUGUUGUUCCAUCAAUAAAUUGUUUAGAAUAUUGGUGUAUUUCCCCCUCCCCCCCAAAAGGUAUGCCAUUUUGAAGACUGAGACCGUGGAGUUUUAUCCUUGAGGAUAAAGGAAAUAUUUGCAAAAGUCUAUUUUAUAUAGCAAGUAAGUAAAUGUUUUAUUCAACAUCUGAAAUUUAAUAGCUACCAACAUUUGAGUAGGAAAAUAUCACUAAGUUGGUCAAUGAAACAAAAUGUAGACUGUUCAUCUCAAAAAAGAGAUGAGAAAAAAGCCCAUCAAAUUCCUUUAUCUCACAUCAAAGCACUUUUAUAUUAUAAUAAAACAGUUGAUACACGUAAUUUAUAUCAGAGCAGUAAGAUGGUCAUUACUUUCCAAUAAUCUGCUGCUUCAGGAUUAUGGUUAAAUCAGUAGUUAUCAGAGUUGUAUGUCUUUAUAAUCUGAAAUUCUUCAGCCAUUUUUUGGAUGAUGAAGGUCACAUUUUGGAAAUGGUUUAGAAUUUUGUAUUUGCUGAUCUUAACAUUUCUUAAAAGAACUGUAUUUUAAAAACUGAAGACACUUUCGUAUUUUAGUUCUUAUUAAUGGAAUUAAUACGUUCAUUUUAACUGUUGUUAUGAGUUUGUUUUCAAACUCGUACUAAAGUGAGUUAUCUUACAGGAAAUUAGAAUAACGCAUCUAAAGAGACCUAAUCUUUAACUUUGUAAUUGUUUUUAAAGCAUAAAAGGAACAAAUAAUUUUCAACAUGUAUAUAAUACUUUCACAUCUUAAAACUACAUAUGUGAAUGAAAAAAUACGUCUGCGGUAAUUUUCAAGAAAGGUGUUUUAUAAGUUAACACUGAACAUGGAAAUUACUGUCAAGCUGAUGUUGGGGAUUUAGCAGAGGAAAUAUGUAUAUAUAGUACCUUCGGAAAUUUUAAGAAUAGCCAAAUUAGCCAAAUAAGUAAUAUAAAGGCAAGUUUACCUUUGUCCUUGAAAUGUGGAAAUUCUUUUAUCUGUUGAUGUUGGCUAAUUAUAUCAUUGAGAUAGGUGAUAAAGGUAAUAUUUUUAUUGCCUUUGUUUUAGCUUAAUUUUUCCUUUUCAGUCAUUUUGCAGUUUGAUCAAAUUUGUGUUUUAGUGUGCAAAAGAAAACUAAAUGUUAGACCUGUAACUAUAGUGUUUUUAAAGAUCUUAUAUAUAUAUAAAAAAUCAAAAUCUAUUUCAUCUUAACCUUUGACACAAAUGCCAAGGUUAUGGUUUCCUGUAUGUAAAUGAUAACGAUAUUAGAUUAGCAUUCACAUGUGGUUGGUCACUGUCAUAAAAAUUGAGAAUUGGGCCUUUUGGACCCAAAUGUAUGUGAAAUGUAAUGUAAUUUUAAGUACAAAUCAGCAAUAAAUUUGUAAUGGCCUAUCAAAGGUGCAGUUUGACCCAUUAAAAUAAAAAGUGAAUGGUUGAAGGUUAGAAAUGUUAAAUGAUUUGGUUUUUAUGUUUUUUACUCCAGUAUCAAGAAUUAAAAAAAUAUUUAAGUGAUACAGUAAUUUCUAAAUUAAUCCUCAAUAUAAUGGAUUGCAGCUUCUCUUUUAUCACCAACAAGAUGAACGAUUAUAGCAAGUCACAUUUUAAAAAGGUCUUACAUGUACUUGAACUUUAAUGCUGAUGCUGCUUAUAUUUAGUGUUUUGAUAUUUGCUGUAAAAUAUUGCUUGUAAAAUAGGCAGUAGUUACCAGAUUUCAUAUAAAAAGUAACUCUGGUUUACUGCUAUAUUCUGCUUAAGAACCAAAGUGAUACUUCAAUACUUGUUUUUAUUUCGGCAUUUUGAACUAAUUUUUGGAUCCUAAAAAUCAUUACUAGGUUGAACUGGUGAUAGGUUUUAUUGCAUUUGUUAUUAUGGUACUAUUUAAAAAAUUACCUGAAAUUCCACAGAAAGGAAAGCAGCCAUGUUCUGUCCAUAGUUAAUCACAAGAUUUUCACGAACUAUGGUAUGACACUUAGAGGCUAGAUUAUGCGAUAGAGGUAUGUAUGUUGAAUAUAAAUUUUCUUUCAAGUUGAAUUUACUGUUAUUCUUAGUUUUUUGAUUAUUUAAAAAUUUGGACUGUGGACAACCAGUUAAUUUACUUAUUUGCUCCGGGUUUUUUCUUUGUUGAGAGGCUUAAGGGGAAACAGACUAUGAGGACAUCUCCAUCUUCUUCAUUCAUGAGAGGUGUGUGUGAUAAGAGUGGAAAUCAGGAAAUCGGCAAUCAGGAAACCGAGCUUCUAAAUGUAGAUUAGCCCUGUAAUCUUGAUAUAUUUCACUGCAGACCUUGUCUUCUAAUCUAUAGAAAGUAUUUGGAGUUUCUAAUCUCUUAAAAUAUCUUUUAGCCUUUAAUUGUGUGAUAAAAAUAAUAGUUAAGGAGUAUCUUAUACAAACUGGAGAAUAGUUUUUGUAAUUUUGCAUAAUAAAUAUAUGUGCUGUUUCUGUGAAGAAAUGAUUUGAAUAACAUGACCCCUGGGUGAUAGUGUACCCGACUUUUUUGAUUGUAGGCAUUCCCAAAUAUUAAUAAUCUAAAUGCAGAUGUUGGAAAAUUGAUCUUGAAAACCAGUUAAGGUGUGAAAUUGUAUUUAAACAAGUGAGAUUUAGAAUGCUGCAAUAAAAAAUUGCUGGGUUAAAUAAAUAUACUUAAAAUUUAGUGUAUUCAAUGUAACACUUAUAGCUGGCUAUCACAACUAUAAAUAAGGAUUUGUAGUUUACAUGCUUGACAUAAUCUAUUUAAUUUCCUUUCAAAAAUUUUUAUAUUUCAAAGACACAAGCUAUCUUCCCCUACUAGAUUGAGUGGCUCAGUACAAACUUAAUUUUCACAUUUGGCUGUUAAUUUCUGAAUGUAGUUAACCAUUACAGUUCAAAUUUGAUGAUGUUCUGAAGCUUAUAAAUAAAAACUGUAUUACUUGAUUUUUUUCAUAACAUUCAAGUGGCAUAUUUCUUACAAUAAUUGGGUAAAGUUUUGAUUUGUACAAUAUACAAAGUUAGAUAGUUUUGUGUUUUGGAAAACAAUCCUUUGCUUUUUGAAAUUAAGCUAUUUAUUUGAUAAGGAAUAUUUCCCAAAUAAGCAAUAUGCCCUUGAUGUGUACUAUAUCGUGAUCAUAAUCAUUUUAAUUUAGAUUAUCAAGGUAGUUUGCUUAACUUGAAUGGUUUCUGAAUUUUCUUACAAGUGGUAAUGACUUUAUUGCUACCUGAUUUUUGUGGAAGAUUUCAUAUAUUCAUUUCAAAAGUGCUGUCAGGUUUUAUUCUUAUAUGUAAGAAUUGCGUUAAGGACUUAAAAAGGUAACAAAGUCAAUAUUUUAAGAAAAGCCCAGAUGGGCUAAUAAAGAUAACAGUCUUUGCCUUUUAAUAUAUAAGUCAAAAUGUACGUUACACUUAGAGCUUUAUAUUGAGAAUCUAUGAUACGGCAAAAUAUUAAAGAUAGGUAGGAAUAUGAGCAAAAGUACCUACUUUUGUAGUCUGCUGAAGCCAAACUUGGCUUCUCCCCACCAUUUUUAAAGGAAGGCGGAAUACUGCUUUCGCAAUUUUGGGAAAGGAGAUGAUAUGGCAGAUUACAUUGGUGUCAGUAAUUUUUGAAGUGGUGCAAAGUGAACUCCCAAGUGAAACCCACAGGCGACAAACUUGUACUGGUAGGUAGCUUUUUAAUCACAUUACCAGCCCAGUGUGAAGGAUUCCCUCAGACCUUUUUUUUCCACAAAUAAAAGUCAAUUCCACCAUUCUCUUAAGAGUUAAAUCAGUUUAGUUCACUUACUUGAUUUAAGACUUGUCUUUGUUCACAAUCUCUAUUCUUAUUAAGGUCAAAUUAAAUUUGGAAGCUUAAAAGUAAAUAAUCCUUUUUCUUAUAAAUUGCUUCAUUUGUUAACUUGCUAGGAGGAUAUUUUAGCAUCUUAACUCUUAGAGAUAAUUUUGAAGCAGGUCUUUCCUGCAUUUUUUGAUUAUGAUUAGUCAAAAUGACUAAACGGAUUAAGAUUUGGUAAUAUAAUCAAGAACUUGAUUUAUAAUUUGAAAAAUUGAAAUCUUAGUCAUGGAACAACAUUUGAAUAGGUUAGUUUUAACUUAAAUCCUAAACUAUUGUGCUUUCUAAAAAUCCUUAAAUUACUACACUUUAAUAUUGAACUUAGAGCUUCUAUGAUAGCUCUACAUAGUAUGGUUAUUAUACUUCAGAGCAGGAGUGACUGAAAAAAUACCUGUAGUCAGAGGGCAUUUGAAAUGUGAAAAACAUCAUUUUCCAUGUUUUGUUUAUGGGGCAUUUCAGUCUAAUUAGUGGAAAGUAUGGAUAUGGUAUUUUUGUUAACGUAUUUUAAAAAGGGUUAGAGUUAACUUGAGUAGGUCAAUACAGUUGGUGACAAAAGUCGUUUGAAAUUUUGUCUAAAGGUUUCUAUCACUUUAUCUUAAAAUAAUUUGAUUAAAUAUUGAACUAAUAAUAAUAAUAAUAAUAAUAAUAAUAAUAGAGAAACAUGGCCUUGCAGGUGGGUAAUGGAAGUUUUCCUUUACGAGUCUUGAAAGUAGAUUAGAUGAAAGAUCAGAAAAUAAUUCUGUACUGUUAAGAGGUGAUGUUGGACUCUGAAACAACUAGUUCUCUACCUUAAUUGCCCAUUAGAUCCAUAUAGGGAGGCCAGAUUUUAUCUGCUCUGUUGGGAGUUCUUAGGGGCUGAGACUUAUGAAUGGUUUUUGUAGUAACUUACUCUAUAGGUAAGUCUCCAAAUAGCCAGAUUGAAAAUCCUUGGGGCUAGAGGAG
RNAcentral lists this long non-coding RNA (7304 nucleotides) under Lynx pardinus (Iberian lynx). Lineage: Eukaryota; Metazoa; Chordata; Mammalia; Carnivora; Felidae. The record is from RNAcentral.